This is a long non-coding RNA of Oreochromis niloticus (Nile tilapia), 2528 nucleotides long. RefSeq lists it as uncharacterized. The transcript has 4 exons. NCBI's taxonomy places the organism in Eukaryota, Metazoa, Chordata, Actinopteri, Cichliformes, Cichlidae. The record is from RefSeq and is a predicted model, not a curated record.
GAUUUUCUGUUUGCUUGGUCUUUCUGUUUCUUUGUUUUUAUAAGCAAAUAACUGUGGCUAAUGCUACGUUUCCCUUCAGUUUUCCCAUUCCAUGUAUUUUCUUAUUGUAGAAAUAAAAUCUGUUUUAUAUUAUCAUUAUUUUUGGUAAUUGGGGAUGGUAACGAGCAGGUAGAAGUACAACUGAGCCCGACUUUACCUGUAAUGUGGUGAUGAGUGUGUUUUAUUUUGGUACUCUGGUAAUAAUCACCUCCAGCGUCUACAGUGUCAUUCCCUACAGAAGGCUGGAUGUUCUCAAAGCUGUAGUAUUUACGUCUGUGAAGUUUUUCUCUACUCGGUGUGUUUUUUGAAACUACUUUUAAGGUUUUGAUGAUGGGUUUGAAAAUGCACAAUUUUAUUUUCUCUGAAUGGCAAUUUGAGCAAUACAAAAUUACACAUCACUCUCGGUGGGAGAUUGACUGAAGAGAUCGGACAGGAUUCAGAUCCAUUCGUACUGAAACAACAGAAUCAGCACCUCAGUGACUUGCCUCCGUCAGGUGUACUGCCUGGCGGGCUUUCUGCUGCUGCACCACGACAUUAGAGAAUCAGGGUUUACAAAGCAGACCCAAGCCUGCCUGCAGAGCCCCCCCCCUCAUCCAUGUGUACAAAUACACUUGUCGAGCGAGUGGCAAGUGGUGAAGUCAUACAGCUGAAUUAUUUUUAUCUGAUUGAGACAUUUUCUGAACUUUGAGGAGUCACGCUUAACAAGCAGAAGGCCCAGGUAGUGCAGCUGGCUCUCAGAGAUCUUACCUGCAGGUGCACUAACGGCUGGAGUCAUAAUGGACAGCCUGCAGCUGUUCUGAUGGCUGCCUGGAGGGGCUGUAUUGAUAAUAUCCUAGCCUGCAAGGCUCAAUCCAUCCCCUGGGGCGCUCAGCAGCAAGUGGAUGAAGAGUCCCCGGACGGUCUUUUGGCUCCACCGCUAGACAUUGCAACAGAGGAAGAGAUCUGAACUCGUUCGAGUGCAGCAGAGCGAGGGGCAGAGAGCAGUGAUCACAGACGAGGCGAGGAGAUGUAUGAGGGAAGGGAUGGAGAGACGGGGAAAAGAAAGGAGAGGAAAUGACAGCCUGCGCCAAGGAACGUCCUGCUCUCUUCUCUCCCAUCAGAAGUGCUAAUCCAACCAGCGGAGGUGCAGACCACCGCUCACAUCUGCCUUCUCCUCUCCAUCUUGUUAGGGACCAGAUGGGAGAGAAAGUGACUUCCCGCUGUACUUCCACUACAUGGCUUGUUCCCUCACAUUAAUACCUUCGCUGCUCAGCUCCAUUUGUUACACACACUCCAGACACACACUCAGGGGGAGCCUCGGGCUGUGAAUGAUGGCCAUAUGCAGAACUGCGCUCAUCUAUAACCCCCCGUGGCUGCAACAAAGUACAGUAGGCACCUUGAGUGUUUCAACAAAGGUUAACAUUUAGAAGUUCUGCGGGCCUGUCUGAUUCGGCAUCUCUGUGUAGUGCGCUCAGCUGAGCCGUAAAAAGUUAUCAAACUGGGUUUGUAGGUAGAAGGUCACUGGUUUAAAUUCACGUGUGUGUGUGUGAGUAAAAAUCCAUCAGGAAAAGUGAACAAGUAACUCAGCAUCCGCUUCAAGCAACCGCUGUGAGAAGUCACGUGACUGCUCUGCAUCCAACAGCAGCCAGCAGUCGCCGCACAGCUUCCAGGUGUGAGAGCGUGUUAAUAUGUAAUUUGGAAACAAAGCAGAGUGGAAAAGCAUGCAUGCUCAGCACAACAUUUCCCCUGAUAGUUAUAAAAAGAAAAAUACAACACAGCUGAUGAGACGAGCGAGCGAGCGAGCGCCCGUUAACGACCAGCUCACCAUUAAAAUGAAUGAAACCAACAACGACCCGCAAACCAGGGGUGUGUAGAUUAGUACACAACGAGUGGCGUCGCGAACAACUGUGUGUGCAAGUUAUUUAUUUAUUUGCAGAAUGCAACUUUCUUUAUGAGGUUGGCUGUUUACUCGCUAAAAAAAGACAGUCAUCACCGUGUGCACCUCUCCACGUGUGAUUAAGUGAAGUAACUUCAGUCGACAGGGUUGAGGUGAGAUGUAGGUGAAUGCAAUCUGACAUCAAAAGAACCAACAACAAAAAACAUCAACGUUUGGUAAACCCUGCAGAAAACAUAUUUUCAUCAUAAGUUAAUUUCUCACUGAACAGUUUUACUGUCAGACAAAAUGGAAAAGCAGAAAUCAGCUAAUAUUGUACAUGUUCAUAAAUGGUCAGUGAAUAGAUUCAUUGACCUGUUUCAGCUCCGAAUCAAACCUUCUGAAAGAAAGUCUAAAUUAAGUUAACAGUUAAAUUAAGUUGAUUCUGUUCAAAAUAAAACACAGUUUUUCUCCACCAAGAAUUACGCCUGAAGCUUGUUGAUGGAUAACACAGGUCUAUGUGCAAGUUGCUAAAGGACAUUUAAUCAAAUAUUAGUGGGGGGGUGUAUGUAUAUAUGUGAUCCUGUGGGGAUUAGUCUAAAAUAAAUUCAAACUAACUCUUAUUUUUUAAAGUCAU